Non-coding RNA from Podarcis muralis (Common wall lizard), 73 nucleotides. NCBI's taxonomy places the organism in Eukaryota, Metazoa, Chordata, Lepidosauria, Squamata, Lacertidae. The record is from the annotation of a RefSeq genome assembly.
GCCGAAAUAGCUCAGUUGGAGAGCGUUAGACUGAAAGAUCUAAAGGUCCCUGGUUCGAUCCCGGGUUUCGGCA